GUGGGGAAUUUUGGACAAUGGGCGCAAGCCUGAUCCAGCAAUGCCGCGUGCAGGAAGAAGGCCUUCGGGUUGUAAACUGCUUUUGUCAGGGAAGAAAUCUUCUGGGUUAAUACCUCGGGAGGAUGACGGUACCUGAAGAAUAAGCACCGGCUAACUACGUGCCAGCAGCCGCGGUAAUACGUAGGGUGCGAGCGUUAAUCGGAAUUACUGGGCGUAAAGCGUGCGCAGGCGGCUUUGCAAGACAGAUGUGAAAUCCCCGGGCUCAACCUGGGAACUGCAUUUGUGACUGCAAGGCUAGAGUACGGCAGAGGGGGAUGGAAUUCCGCGUGUAGCAGUGAAAUGCGUAGAUAUGCGGAGGAACACCGAUGGCGAAGGCAAUCCCCUGGGCCUGUACUGACGCUCAUGCACGAAAGCGUGGGGAGCAAACAGGAUUAGAAACCCCGGUAGUCC
This 450-nucleotide ribosomal RNA is filed under the name uncultured bacterium. RNAcentral's name for it is "bacterial SSU rRNA". It matches the Rfam family "Bacterial small subunit ribosomal RNA", at positions 354 to 796 of the family's 1533-position model. The record is from RNAcentral.